Molecule: long non-coding RNA, 126 nt
Organism: Sebastes umbrosus (honeycomb rockfish)
Lineage: Eukaryota; Metazoa; Chordata; Actinopteri; Perciformes; Sebastidae
Exons: 3
Source: RefSeq, a predicted model, not a curated record
AAAAACAUAAAGCAUUAUGAGAGAGGGUCCUUUCCUGCAGCAGGUCAAGCGUCUGUUUCAACUCUAUUUUCUCUUACACAAAUGAACGUCACCGCAAUAAACAUUUCGACCUCUCUAUUUGAUUUG